Molecule: ribosomal RNA, 2900 nt
Filed under: Clostridioides difficile
Lineage: Bacteria; Bacillati; Bacillota; Clostridia; Peptostreptococcales; Peptostreptococcaceae
Description: 23S ribosomal RNA
Rfam family: Bacterial large subunit ribosomal RNA
Source: RNAcentral
UGGUCAAGUUAUUAAGGGUGCAGGGCGGAUGCCUUGGCACUAGGAGCCGAUGAAGGACGUGAUAAGCUGCGAUAAGCUUCGGGGAGUUGCACGUAAACUUUGAUCCGAAGAUUUCCGAAUGAGGAAACUCACUUAGAGUAAUGUCUAAGUAUCAUUAAGUGAAUACAUAGCUUAAUGAGGGGAACUCAGGGAACUGAAACAUCUAAGUACCUGAAGGAAGAGAAAGAAAUUCGAUUCCGUAAGUAGCGGCGAGCGAACGCGGAUUAGCCCAAACCAAUAAAGUUUUCUUUAUUGGGGUUGCGGACAUAUCAUAACGAAGAGGUAUCGUAAUUGAAGAGGUUUGGAAAGACCCACCACAGAAGGUAAUAGUCCUGUAUGUUAAACGAGAAGACUUCAGAUAUGAUCCAGAGUACCACGGGACACGUGAAACCCUGUGGGAAGCAGGAGGGACCACCCUCCAAGGCUAAAUACUACCUAGUGACCGAUAGCGUAUAGUACCGUGAGGGAAAGGUGAAAAGAACCCCGGGAGGGGAGUGAAAUAGAACCUGAAACCCUGCACUUACAAGCUGUGGAAGCACAUUUCUUGUGUGACCGCGUACUUUUUGUAGAACGGGCCAACGAGUUACGUUAAGUAGCAAGGUUAAGCACUUAAGGUGCGGAGCCGUAGCGAAAGCGAGUUUUAACUGAGCGUUCAGUUACUUGACGUAGACCCGAAACCGGGCGACCUACCCAUGAGCAGGAUGAAGCGAAAGUAAAAUUUCGUGGAGGUCCGAACCCACGAGCGUUGAAAAGCUCGGGGAUGACUUGUGGGUAGCGGUGAAAUUCCAAUCGAGCCCGGAGAUAGCUGGUUCUCCCCGAAAUAGCUUUAGGGCUAGCCUCAAGGUGAGAGAUACGGAGGUAGAGCACUGAAUGUCCUAGGGGGUAUUGCACCUACCGAAGACUAUCAAACUCCGAAUGCCGUCAUCUUAUACUUGGGAGUCAGACUGUGGGUGAUAAGAUUCAUAGUCGAAAGGGCAACAGCCCAGAUCGUCAGCUAAGGUCCCUAAAUGUAAGUUAAGUGGUAAAGGAUGUGGGAUUGCACAGACAACCAGGAUGUUGGCUUAGAAGCAGCCACUCAUUCAAAGAGUGCGUAAUAGCUCACUGGUCGAGUGAUCCUGCGCCGAAGAUUUCCGGGGCUAAAACUUACUACCGAAGCUACGGCAUCAGUAAUGAUGGGUAGGGGAGCUUCCCAUACGGGUUGAAGCAUGACCGUAAGGACAUGUGGACAGUAUGGGAGUGAGAAUGUUGGCAUGAGUAGCGAGAUGUGGGUGAGAAUCCCACAGGCCGUAAACCCAAGGUUUCCAGGGGAAGGUUCGUCCGCCCUGGGUUAGUCGGGACCUAAGCUGAGGCCGAAAGGCGUAGGUGAUGGACAACAGGUUGAUAUUCCUGUACUACCGAUAACCGUUUGAGAGAAGGGAUGACACAGUAGGAUAAGCUAAGCACACUGUUGGUUAUGUGUGCCCAAGCAUUGAGGCAGUCAAAGCAGGCAAAUCCGCUUUGAUAAUGCUGGGAUGUGAUGGGGAGCGAAAUUUAGUAGCGAAGUAGCUGAUUUCACACUGUCAAGAAAAGUCUCUAUCGAGGUUAAAGGUACCCGUACCGCAAACCGACACAGGUGGGUGAGGAGAGUAUCCUAAGGCCAGCGAGAGAACUGUUGUUAAGGAACUCGGCAAAAUGACCCCGUAACUUAGGGAUAAGGGGUGCCACCAUCCGGUGGCCGCAGAGAAUAGGCCCAAGCGACUGUUUACCAAAAACAUAGGUUUCUGCUAAGUCGCAAGACGAUGUAUAGGAGCUGACGCCUGCCCGGUGCUGGAAGGUUAAGGGGAUCUGUUAGAGCAAUCGAAGCAGUGAACUUAAGCCCCAGUAAACGGCGGCCGUAACUAUAACGGUCCUAAGGUAGCGAAAUUCCUUGUCGGGUAAGUUCCGACCCGCACGAAAGGCGUAACGAUUUGGGCACUGUCUCAACAACAGACUCGGUGAAAUUGUAAUUCCGGUGAAGAUGCCGGAUACCUGCGACAGGACGGAAAGACCCCAUGGAGCUUUACUGUAGCUUGACAUUGGGUCUUGGUACUACAUGUACAGGAUAGGUGGGAGGCUUUGAAACCAGGACGCCAGUUUUGGCGGAGCCAUCCUUGGGAUACCACCCUUGUAGUACUGGGACUCUAACCAUAGGCCAUGAAUCUGGUCUUGGGACACUGUCAGGUGGGCAGUUUGACUGGGGCGGUCGCCUCCCAAAAGGUAACGGAGGCGCUCAAAGGUUCUCUCAGUACGGUCGGAAAUCGUACGUAGAGUGUAAAGGCAAAAGAGAGCUUGAUUGCAAGACAUACAGGUCGAGCAAGGAUGAAAAUCGGACUUAGUGAUCCGGUGGUUCUGCGUGGAAGGGCCAUCGCUCAACGGAUAAAAGCUACCCUGGGGAUAACAGGCUUAUCUCCCCCAAGAGUCCACAUCGACGGGGAGGUUUGGCACCUCGAUGUCGGCUCAUCACAUCCUGGGGCUGUAGUAGGUCCCAAGGGUUGGGCUGUUCGCCCAUUAAAGUGGUACGCGAGCUGGGUUCAGAACGUCGUGAGACAGUUCGGUCCCUAUCCGUCGCAGGCGUAGGAAAUUUGAGAAGACCUGUCCUUAGUACGAGAGGACCGGGAUGGACGUACCUCUGGUGUACCAGUUGUCCUGCCAAGGGCAUGGCUGGGUAGCUAUGUACGGAAUGGAUAAGCGCUGAAAGCAUCUAAGCGCGAAGCCAACUUCAAGAUAAGAUUUCCCACCGCAAGGGUAAGACCCCAGAAAGACUAUCUGGUUGAUAGGUCGAAGGUGUAAGUGCAGCAAUGUAUUUAGCUUAUCGAUACUAAUAGGUCGAGGACUUGACCAAU